CCAUAUGCAGUAGAAGUAUUACUUGUACAUGUUCCGUGUAACGCGCAGAAAUGAAACAGAUAUCGCCAAAUGCAACUUCUUACAUAAUUUUAGGAGAGGCAUACUAUGUGUUUACAAUGAUUUCAUGGAGCAUUAGCUUAAAUUUAGCAUGAACUAAGCACAAUAGUACAACUGAGCAUUCACUAUUCCUCUUUGUUUGAGUUUUUAUGCAAGCUGUGACAUGAUAUCCGCAUACUUGCAUGUCAUUCAGUAUGUUGCAUCCAAUAGAAUUAUGUGAUCUUACUUAAAAGCUUGUCGUGAAUUGAAUCUACGACACAAGUUGCAGUUAAUAGAAGUGCUCCCAAAUUCAAGCGGCUGUGCAUACUCUGGCUGCAUUCUUAGUACAUGAACCAGAAGCUGCUGCAUAAUUUACCCUGCAGAGAGAACAGAUACUUAGCUUUUUCCAAACAUACAAGCUAGUAAAAUCAGUCCCAACAGUGGACCAGAAACAACUGUUUUCAAAACAAGACUGAUAAUCCCUGGAUCAUAAAACAGAGUGUUCUGAACAUAAACUUGCACUCCAAGCAGUAUGCUAGUGUAGUAUUGUUUCCCAGAACUUGUCUUUCUUUUGGUGUAUAUCAGUGUUAAAAAUCUAAUAUAGAUCAACUCUGAACUUGGACAGGGAUGUCCAGAUGCUUCUGCAUACCAGAACAAGUGCAUUCAGAAUUGGGAUGACAUAUGUACUUUAUUUGCC
This 733-nucleotide long non-coding RNA is filed under the name Daucus carota (carrot). RNAcentral describes it as "long non-coding RNA (DCAR_LNC001247)". Lineage: Eukaryota; Viridiplantae; Streptophyta; Magnoliopsida; Apiales; Apiaceae. The record is from RNAcentral.